CCUACGGGAGGCAGCAGUGGGGAAUAUUGCGCAAUGGGCGAAAGCCUGACGCAGCGACGCCGCGUGAGGGAUGAAGGUCUUCGGAUCGUAAACCUCUGUUAGCAGGGAAGAACGGUCACUGUGCUAAUCAGCAGUGAAUUGACGGUACCUGCAAAGGAAGCACCGGCUAACUCCGUGCCAGCAGCCGCGGUAAUACGGAGGGUGCGAGCGUUAAUCGGAAUUACUGGGCGUAAAGCGCUCGUAGGUGGUAUGUCAAGUCAAGGGUGAAAUCCCCGCGCUCAACGUGGGAACUGCCUUUGAAACUGGCAGACUGGAGUGUGUGAGAGGAUAGUGGAAUUCCAGGUGUAGGAGUGAAAUCCGUAGAUAUCUGGAGGAACAUCAGUGGCGAAGGGGACUAUCUGGCACAUAACUGACGCUGAGGAGCGAAAGCGUGGGUAGCAAACAGGAUUAGAUACCCCAGUAGUC
Molecule: ribosomal RNA, 465 nt
Filed under: uncultured bacterium
Lineage: Bacteria
Description: partial 16S ribosomal RNA
Rfam family: Bacterial small subunit ribosomal RNA
Source: RNAcentral